AGGGAGGAAGGGGGGAAAUAAAUUCCAGAGAGUCUUGCAACGCCAGAACUUUCCUGAGCUCGCGCGCGCGCGCGCGCGUGUGUGUGUGUUCUGGGGAAGGGGGGAAGUUUGUUGGAAUAUGGUUGGGGAAAUGGAAAAUAAGGAGCGACCAAAACCGACCCCAGACUAUCUCAUGCAACUGAUGAACGACAAGAAGCUGAUGAGUAGCCUGCCCAACUUCUGCGGCAUUUUCAACCAUCUGGAGCGGUUGCUGGACGAAGAGAUCAGCAGAGUGCGGAAAGAUAUGUACAACGACACAUUAAAUGGCAGCACAGAGAAAAGAAGUACAGAAUUACCAGAUGGUGUGGGGCCUAUUGUACAAUUACAAGAGAAACUUUAUGUGCCUGUUAAAGAAUAUCCAGAUUUCAACUUUGUUGGAAGAAUUCUUGGACCCAGGGGACUAACAGCAAAACAGUUGGAAGCGGAGACUGGAUGCAAGAUUAUGGUGCGAGGGAAGGGCUCAAUGAGGGACAAGAAGAAGAUGUUGCAGGAGGAGCAAAACAGAGGCAAACCCAACUGGGAACACCUGAAUGAAGACCUGCAUGUAUUAAUCACUGUGGAAGAUGCACAGAACAGAGCAGAAAUCAAGCUAAAGAGGGCAGUGGAGGAAGUUAAAAAGUUACUUGUACCAGCAGCAGAGGGAGAGGAUAACCUUAAGAAGAUGCAACUGAUGGAAUUAGCGAUACUGAACGGCACUUAUAGAGAUGCCAACAUCAAAUCACCUGCCCUUGCCUUUUCUCUUGCAGCGACAGCCCAAGCUCCACGGAUCAUUACAGGGCCCACGUCAGUUCUUCCACCAUCUGCUUUGCGAGCCCCCACGCCAGCUGGUCCAACUAUCAUGCCUCUAAUUAGGCAAAUUCAGACAGCAACAGUCAUGCCUAAUGGAUCCCCACAUCCAAAUGCAUUAGUGCCUUCCGCACCUGAAGCCGGUCUAAUCUAUACUCCUUACGACUACCCGUACACACUGGCACCAGCUACUUCCAUCCUGGAGUAUCCCAUUGAGCCGAGUGGAAUUUUAGCUUAUAUUGGGCUGGUCAAUGCUGGUGGUUCCAUUCAGAACGGCGAGGGCUUACCCAUUUAACCUGCAGUAAGUCUGGGACCUCUGUGCAAGUGCAUUAGGUGGCAGAGUGAAAGGUAUGGCAUUCCCAACGAAAGGCUAAGAAUUCAAGGACCCAUGUCACUGAAACCCUCAUCAGAUCUGAACUUUAACAAAUGCUUAGUUUCACAGCAGCCAUGGACAAAAUAUGCCGGGCCUGACUGUCAGUGAGAUGCUAGCAUUAUGUGCGUGUGUAUGUGUACGUGUGAGUGUGUGCGCGUGUGUGCACGCAUCACAUUUGGAAACCAGUUGGGUCAAUUAGUUAUGAUUCUGGCCUAGUGCUCUUCCUAUCAUUUUGUUCCAUCUAUCCCAGAGGAAGCACAUUCAGUGUGUUUCAUUGCCUGCUUGGUGUAGGGUAUUUGCUUUAUACAUCACCUAAUUCAUUGCAAUUUGUAGCUAGUCGCUUCUGAGAUAAGCGUGUAUUUUUUAGGUCAUGCAAUUGCUGCAAAAAAUUUUAAGUUUGUAGAGGUUUUAUUUAAAAAAAAGAACUGAUGUCAAUAUAGAUUCAGUGUUAUGAAUUAAAACGUAUUUCUCUGCAAGGUGCACUCCACUGAUUAUGUGACUAGUAAAACUUAAUUGUGCUUGCAUCUAAUUAAGUAAUCUCAUUUCAUAUGGUGGGAUUUUUAACAAGUGGAUAAGGACAGUGGGUUAAGUCUAUGUCUUUUGAAACGGAAUGCAAUAUUAACAUGCACAGUUGUACUCAAUUAAGUAAUUUCUGCUUAAAAUGUUCGAGUUAUAAAGGUGCUGUGCCUUAACCUGUUUUUUUAACUGCUACCAUGCUGUAUUUUCUAAUGUAAAUCCAUUUUGAUCUGCUGUUGAAAUGCUAUUAAUAUGUUAACCAAUCACUUCCUAGGAAAUUCCUCUAACCAUGUGUUGCAAAUGUUGCAAUUUAACUAGGUGCAGUGGCUACUAAAGUUCGAAGGCGCGAUAUGCGGGUCCUUCCUUAUCAAAGGAUUGUGACCAUAGACAGAGCUGCCAUUGGCAACUAACCUAUGACCUUCUGACCUCUGAACUCUUCACCCAAUGAUGACCUGACCAUGCCUGCCUGCUGAUCAAUUAACUGGUGACCGCCUUUGCUCGCCUGUCUUCAGUGCAGCGAGCUGGGGCACUGUCCGAUCGUCUUACUGCCUAACAAUGAAAAAAAAAAACACACACACACACACACACACCACAAAAUUAUUCAUCCACUCAGUUUUUCUGGUUGGGUGAAUGGUGAGGUCUUGGAACCUGCACUGAAUAAUACUAAAGCAAUAAAGUUCAAUUCAUCCCUCACUGUUCAUCAGUGAUCAUCAUUUUGUCACCCUCCCUAAUGAACGGCAAGAAGGCCAAGGACGCAGGAGAUGAAUGUCUAUGAAUAGCUAUUAACAAAGGCAGUGACUGUGGGAGUUUGAAGAACAUUUUUUUCUCAUGCCUAAGUCACAAGUUUCUUGAAUGUAAUGUGCUGUGAUGAUGCAUCAUGCAUGAACCUUUGCUCAGUGAUGUCAUCGGUGAAGGAGUUUUGAACGAGUUUCAAUAUUCCAAAUUUGGCCAAACUUUACUUUUGUUCCGUUUGUGCUCCUCCAGGACACAGAUGCCAGUUGAAACCUUUCAGGAAUUUGACCCGGCAAGUUCAGAAUGUCCCUCAACCUAAUGCUUGAGCAAUAUAAAGAACUGAACAAGAACCAAAGGGUGUUGUGCGGAGGACUGAAUUAGUCAUGAUUUAACAAACAGAAUACCCAUUAGAUGCUAAGCAAUCUUUCGGCAACAAGGUCCAUGCAUUAUGUGUCACAAUACUGGGCAAAAUUGUUGAAUCUUAUUUUUCUUCCUUGUAUAGAUUUGUUUUCUCAAGGAUGUAAAGCCAUGCUUGCCUAUUUACUAUAUUAAUGUAUUGAAAUUGUAGAUAUGCAUAAUGCAUUGAACAGACCACAAAAAGAACAAAAAAGUAGAUACUUUUACUAUACAAGGGUGCUGGUAAGAAAAAUAUAUAUUUUUGACAGUGUAGUCUUUUAUACUUUCAAGUAUUAAAUAGAACCUGAACAAAGAAACCCUUUAUUUAAUUAAAUGAUUUCCUGGUAGUUGUGAACAAAGCAAAACAGGAAACCAAACCGCCUUUUUUCCCUCCCCCCUCCCUCCUUUUUCACCCCACCCCACCCUCCUGUUAAAUUGUAAAGAUUGGAAAACGUCUAAAGAAAGAAGUGCCUUAUUUUAUUCAUGGUCAUUUUGUCUGGCGUCUCAUAUUAAUCAUCUUGCUGAAAGCAAGGUCUCAAAUACAUGCAAACAGAGCUGCCCAGUGCUCACAUGAAAGGGGUCUGCGUGUGAAUAAAAAUGAGCUGGCAGUUGUGUUGUCUGAUAAGUGCUACAUCACUGAACCCAUGGCUCACAAUAACUGUGACAGUGACAUUUAUUUGUACACUCCCUGGGCCUUUUGGAGUAUCAUUGAAAGCUGUCAUUCCUGUAGAUUUUCGCAUCUUAAAGAGGCACCCAGCCUAUUGUCGGAUAAACAGCAUUGAGGGAAACUAAAGGAUAAACAGAAAAAAUCUGUUGCACAGAUUCACAAUUGUAGCCAAAGUUUACCUUCAGUGAUUUCCUAAUCGCUACUGUAGCUCCACGUUCCCACAUGGUGAGGAGAUACGGCACUGACUGUGGAUUGUGCACGGUCGCAUUGUUUGCCCAAAACAAAGACGUUCUAAGUCUAUGUGACUAACUCUCCAAUGCUGUCGACUGUUAAAAUUUAGUUGAGAAACUCUGUACUACGCAUUACGGUGGAGAAGAUUCGAUGGGCCGAAUGGCCUAAUUCUGCUCCUAUGUUUUAAGAUUACAAAUCGAUGGGAACCGUUUGGCUGAAAUAACGUUAAACAAAAAAAAAACACAAACAUGGCAGUCAAUUAAGUUAGGUGACCUCAUCAAAUGCAUACUCAUCCCAACUUAAUCAACCACCAAUUACAGAGGAAUACGAUUACUUGUUGGCAAAACUUCUCGCAGACCUUUCCAUUAGCAUUGACCUUGCCGUGACCCAAACUAACCAGCAGACUCAUAAGCAGAGGAAUUUCCCACCACAAUGUAUGUCUCGUAAUUAAACUGAUGGUUCAUUUAUGUCCACUGAGGGAUCCUAUUUUAGAGAAAGGAACAUGCUGCCUUCUUUGAAUCAUUUGAGGAGAGACAUGUAAGGGUUGCUACAAACAUUCACUUGACUUCAUAAUGUGGGAGGGGCGCAAUAGAAUGGGGGGGUGCAAUGAUUUACUAUGCAACACAAAUGAAACUAUCCAGCCAGCUUUAAAUUUUGUGCCACCAUCUCAUCUUCCAAACAGACAUCAUGCUUCUCCGAACAUAUCCACGCUUCAUCCUGGUGCCAUUUGUAUUGUUUUUGUUUGAGUGAAACUUGCGACACUCAAGUGAAGGUGGUGAUAGCAGGAGGUUGGAAGGAAUCGAGAAUUAGAGUGAGAUUUUAGUAUCCCUUUUAGUAAACACUGGACUAGUGGGGCCUUGAUGGCAGAGGGCGAGGUUUAACACUAACAACAAAACUAAUGCAUCUCUGCUAAUCGUCUGUCACUGGCGAUUUUUCGUUUUACUGAACCAGGUUGCAAGUCUGUGUACCCUUAACUUCAUUAGUUGGGGAUUAUAUCUCCAUAGAUAUUUACAAGUAGUUUAAAAAGGACCCACGCUCUUCCCUGUUCUGGCAGUAUUAAGUAUUUCUAUGGAGUGAUGGGAGUGUCGCUUGUAGUCACAUAGUUAACAGGUAUGAGCCAGCUAUUUACAGAGCAAGAAAUAGAUCCAUGUUGUGUCUGUACCAUUAACUAACUUAAUUGCCUAAGACUUGUAAGAUAAUGUAUUUACAGCCAUUGUUACAAUUUAUAAUGUAUUUUUCUAAACCUUGUUUUUUGUAUGUUAUAUAUAACAUUCAAGAAUUUUUUCCUGAUAAAUUUAAAAAAAAAGUAUAGAAAUCCCACCUUUUUGAUAACUGAUCAAUGCCAAUGGUUUUUGUAGUAUAUUAUUGAAAGUACUCCACCUCUUUAUGUUAGCAACUUGAUGGCUUAGACAACUGGAUUCCUGCUUUUAUUUUUAACUUGCUUGCGUUUGAUUUCACUGAUACUUUGCGGUUUCUAUUAACCCUUGCAUUAUUUUAAUAAAUGUUAUAAUAUCAAACUACUAA
This is an RNA transcript of Amblyraja radiata (thorny skate), 5264 nucleotides long. It is a transcript of the gene named QKI, KH domain containing, RNA binding b, with no coding region annotated. The transcript has 9 exons. The record is from RefSeq and is a predicted model, not a curated record. Lineage: Eukaryota; Metazoa; Chordata; Chondrichthyes; Rajiformes; Rajidae.